UGGUCUACAAUUUCACCGGCUCCAGGUCUACCUGGCAUGAAGUCUGUCCAAUUGUAUAUCUGUUUAUUCUGCUAACCUGUUUUCUCAAGAAGAAAUAUGUUGUUCUCCUUCAAAUCAUGAGAUUUGGACCAUAUGACUCCGUGUUCUGCUGC
Molecule: long non-coding RNA, 152 nt
Organism: Choloepus didactylus (southern two-toed sloth)
Lineage: Eukaryota; Metazoa; Chordata; Mammalia; Pilosa; Megalonychidae
Exons: 3
Source: RefSeq, a predicted model, not a curated record